CCCUUAGAUGUUCUGGGCCGCACGCGCGCUACACUGAUGCAUUCAACGAGCCUAUCCUUGACCGACAGGUCCGGGUAAUCUUUGAAUCUGCAUCGUGACGGGGAUAGAUUAUUGCAAUUAUUAAUCUUCAACGAGGAAUGCCUAGUAGGCACAAGUCAUCAGCUUGUGCCGAUUACGUCCCUGCCCUUUGUACACACCGCCCGUCGCUACUACCGAUUGAAUGGCUCAGUGAGGCCUUCGGACUGGCCCAGGGAGGUUGGCAACGACCACCCAGGGCCGGAAAGUUGGUCAAACUUGGUCAUUUAGAGGAAGUAAAAGUCGUAACA
Molecule: ribosomal RNA, 326 nt
Filed under: uncultured eukaryote
Lineage: Eukaryota
Description: partial 18S ribosomal RNA
Rfam family: Eukaryotic small subunit ribosomal RNA
Source: RNAcentral